This 127-nucleotide small nucleolar RNA is filed under the name Mus pahari (shrew mouse). Its description in RNAcentral is "predicted gene, 26100 (MGP_PahariEiJ_G0034442.1)". It matches the Rfam family "Small nucleolar RNA SNORA17". Rfam says of the family: snoRNA ACA 17 belongs to the H/ACA family of snoRNAs and is predicted to guide pseudouridylation of the 28S rRNA at positions U4659 and U4598. It shares the same host gene together with ACA43. The record is from RNAcentral. Lineage: Eukaryota; Metazoa; Chordata; Mammalia; Rodentia; Muridae.
GCUUCUUCUAGAGGUGCUGCAGAUAUGACUGCUGUGUCAUAUGUGCUUUAGUAGUGGUAGAGAGGAGAGUUGAUAUGUCUACACUCAAGUAUUCUGACCUGUGAAAACUGAUUUAUUAGUAGGCUAA